This 505-nucleotide ribosomal RNA is filed under the name uncultured bacterium. Its description in RNAcentral is "partial 16S ribosomal RNA". It matches the Rfam family "Bacterial small subunit ribosomal RNA", at positions 28 to 507 of the family's 1533-position model. The record is from RNAcentral.
GACGAACGCUGGCGGCGUGCCUAAUACAUGCAAGUAGAACGCACAGUUUAUACCGUAGCUUGCUACACCAUAGACUGUGAGUUGCGAACGGGUGAGUAACGCGUAGGUAACCUGCCUGGUAGCGGGGGAUAACUAUUGGAAACGAUAGCUAAUACCGCAUAAUAUUAAUUAUUGCAUGAUAAUUAAUUGAAAGGUGCAAUUGCACCACUACCAGAUGGACCUGCGUUGUAUUAGCUAGUAGGUGAGGUAACGGCUCACCUAGGCGACGAUACAUAGCCGACCUGAGUGGGUGAUCGGCCACACUGGGACUGAGACACGGCCCAGACUCCUACGGGAGGCAGCAGUAGGGAAUCUUCGGCAAUGGACGAAAGUCUGACCGAGCAACGCCGCGUGAGUGAAGAAGGUUUUCGGAUCGUAAAGCUCUGUUGUAAGAGAAGAACGGGUGUGAGAGUGGAAAGUUCACACUGUGACGGUAUCUUACCAGAAAGGGACGGCUAACUACGUG